GAUGAACGCUAGCGGCAGGCCUAACACAUGCAAGUCGAGGGGCAGCACGUCUUCGGAUGGUGGCGACCGGCGCACGGGUGCGUAACGCGUAUGCAACCUACCUCUUACAGUGGGAUAGCCCAGAGAAAUUUGGAUUAAUACCGCAUAGUAUACAGAUUCAGCAUUGGGACUGUAUUAAACAUUUAUGGGUAAGAGAUGGGCAUGCGUUCUAUUAGUUAGUUGGAGUGGUAACGGCACCCCAAGACAGCGAUAGAUAGGGGCCCUGAGAGGGGGAGUCCCCACACUGGUACUGAGACACGGACCAGACUCCUACGGGAGGCAGCAGUGAGGAAUAUUGGACAAUGGCGAGAGCCUGAUCCAGCCAUGCCGCGUGCAGGAAGAC
RNAcentral lists this ribosomal RNA (382 nucleotides) under uncultured bacterium. Its description in RNAcentral is "bacterial SSU rRNA". It matches the Rfam family "Bacterial small subunit ribosomal RNA", at positions 28 to 412 of the family's 1533-position model. The record is from RNAcentral.